AACUUACACCAGACAUCAAAGUGCAUUUGUGUUAAUUUUGUCUUUUAGAAUUUCAGCUCAUUUUUCCAGAGGACACAAUUACCCUGCAAAGUGUACUGCACUUAAGCUGAGAAGUACCUCCGAAGUAAAAUAACUUAGCUGAACCCAACUAACAGGCUAUUUUGUAUGCAAGAGUCCUGGUCCUUUCCCAGGAUUGCCUUGCAGGCUGUGCCCCGUGGACCACCCUUCACCACCAGUCAUGGGCUAUAGGCCACAUCCCCCUCCUCCACCUACUCUAUUUGUUAAGAUGACCUGAACUGGCUGAGUGGCUGGACAACUCUUUUGAAAUUUGAAGAGGACUGUGCACAGUGACAGACAAUCGUGUUUGCAUAUACAUUUUAAGAAGGUGUCAGAUCUACCUGAAUGCUUUCCCUGCCCAUCCUGUCCCCUCCACUUUGUCCUUCCUACUGUCCCCUAAUCUACGUUUCAUCGUUUUGUCUCUGUGCCAGCGUCUGCUUCUAGGGCCAUCUACUCUCGCUCCCCAUUGAGUGCACACAGUGGGGUUCCUGUACACACAGGUAACAAAGUGCCAGAAAUGGUGGUGAGGGAGGAUAGAAGCAAGAUCACCCUUUGUGCGGGGGAGCCUGAGGGAGUUUUCCGGGGCGAUGGGAACUACCUAUAUCUAGAUUGAUGGGGUGCUUAUGCUCAAUUAUUUUGGAAAUAUUCCCUGACUCCAUGGUGCCUUGGGGUCAGACAGGUAUCUGUCCUUAGGAAAUGGCUGAGUUCUAAUGGUGGAGAAGAAUGAGGGACCAGCAGUGACUGUGGUAGAGGAGUAAGGGUCAGACCCACGCCCAGGAUGCCAGGUCUCCACAGACAGCACCAAGUGUAGGAGGAUUCUGAGGAGCAGAGAUUUCUUGAUCAGACCCGUGGACUACAUAAUCCUCCUGUAGUUUCCUCACUGAGCGAUGGCUAGAGCCGAGGCCAGCAGCUGGAGGACACCUGAUCAUGGCUGGAGUGGAGCAGUGGGCCUGGGGGAUUGAGUCAGGGAAAGGGCCAGGCAGAAGGUAGUGACAGGGAGUUUGAGAGACAAACGGAAGAGAAGAGAAGGGACCCUUCUCUGCUGACUUCACCUACAUUUCUGUGUGACCAAAACGAGACCCCUGUCUCCCACGGAAGGGAAGAGGGCUGGCAAAACACCGAGUGACAUACUCAGCUCAAGUGCCCAGGGUAUCUGCCUUGCUCUUGAGUACCUAACACAGGAAGCACGUGCUUUCUGUCAUGAUUGGAACUGCAGCUCGUACCAUUUAGUGAAAAUCAAUCCAAUUAUGCAUCCCUCAGCAUUAAAGUACUCCAACAAAAUUAAGUGAACAGACUGAAAGAUACAAGGCAGGAUAAAGUCCAAAGGUAGAGCGAUGGCAAUACUUACGGGAAUACAGUCUAUCCGAAAAGGAGGUAGGUACCCUAGUGCAGGCCUCAGCCACCUGGGCAAUAUCUGAAAACGUAAAAAAAAAAAAAAAAAAAAAAAAAAGUCCUUCCUCCAAAAGCAACAUUAGCUCUAGACACAAAGGGAUCAUGAUUAAGGUUUAGAGAGCAACCAUAUGACUUCAUGGUGCUGUAUCCAUGAGAUCAAGUUUCAUCAAAUUAUACCCUUUAAUUUGAGGCUCUUUGUUAUAUGUAAAUUAUACCUCAUUAAAGAGAGUUUCAAAACAUAAAA
Molecule: long non-coding RNA, 1693 nt
Organism: Felis catus (domestic cat)
Lineage: Eukaryota; Metazoa; Chordata; Mammalia; Carnivora; Felidae
Exons: 3
Source: RefSeq, a predicted model, not a curated record